UUGAAAAUGGAAAGUUGGAGGGGUUCAUAGGAUAAGGAGUCGUGGGGCUGAGGAGAAAACUCCAACAUGUGAGGGUCUGGCUCGCUCCCUAGAGCCUUCCCCCACCUCCUCACCUCCACAGGUCCCUUGGUCCUAGGAGGGGAACAGAGGUGUGUGAGGCCAGGGGAGUUUAGGACAGGCUUAAAAAAAAAAUUGUUAACAAACUGUAUUUUCCUGACUUUUAGGCAUUCCCUCUCCCCUCACAGGUCCUGGGAUGACCCGAGCAAUCCUGUGCCUGCUACUCUGCUGCCCAGGACACUGAGAGAACCAGUGUUCUCUGGGAGGAAACCACUGGUCAUGGUCUUACUGCUAUGCCCUCUCUGAUCCAGGGAUACAGCAGUGAAAGGUCACCCCACCUGCAGGAAGGGGUCGCUGACUCCAGAUAUGCUGUGUUCUGUGGAGUAUCCCAUUGUCACCAGAGUCCGGAGGAUGUGUACCAGCUGGGGUACCACCUGGAGGGAGGGCACAACUUUGGGCAUUCGUUCUAAUCCUCUCCAGCUAAAGCCCCAUUCCUUCCCCACUGACCCUGUCUUCCAGGCCCAGGGCCUGCCCCUUCACCAGCCCACCUUUCGGAAGUGCCUGAGGGCUGCAGGGCUUCGUUCGCAGAGCUCCGUGAUCAGCGUGAUGGUGCCCAGCAGGAUGCCUGGGGUCAGCGUCGGGGAAGUGAAUGGUGGGGGCCAGGGGCAAGAGAGUCUAUUGCGUGUGUGCCUGUGUGUGUGCACUACCCUUCUCCUGUGAGCUGGGGUUCCCAUCCGAUUUUCAAUUCUUCUGUCCAUAGACCUGAAGCAAAGGAUGGGGGGCCCCACAGCCUUACCAUGGUGACGCUCAUGAAGCAGUUGGGCACAGGGUGGGAGGAAGACACUGGAGAGUUCAGGGACCUUCCGGAUCAUGUGCACUGCAGUCAGAAUAGCCUGCAGAGGUCAGGGGCCUCAGACAGGGGUCAGAGGAGAUGGACCCCUGCAUCUACUACUAUAUAGCACGCAGCAGGCAGUGUGCAGGAGCACGUGCCAGGAGUCCCGCCAUCUCACCUUCUUGCGCACGUAGGGACUGGGCUGCAGGAGCAGUUUCUCCACCUCUGGGGCCAGGUCUCGGCACAUCUCAGCAGAGCCCAUGGUGCUCAAAGUGCACAAGGCCAGGCCUUGUACUGGCUGAAUCCCCUGGCUCAGGUCACUGCAGGGUUUGGGAGGACGGUCAGUCAAACCUCUGAGAAAAUCAGUCCUUUUCAAUACCCACAACAGGCAGUCCCCUGGGAUUUCCAAGGUCCCUACUCUCCCAUCUCCCUGAUUCCAAGUGAUUGCCAGAACCCUCUCACUUCUUGAUGCUGUUGGUAAUGAGCAGGUGGGCAUCGUGCCUCUCAUCCAAUAGAAGCAUGGCCCCCAGGUAGCCCACCCUCUUGUCUGUGAAUCUGGAGGAGGCGAUCAGUUUCAGGCACUCCAUCUAUAGUGAAGGGGGCAGACCAGGAAGAGGCAGGGGUGAAACCAUAGACACUCACAUCCCUGUUCCAUCUUCCUCUUUAAAACCAGAUUAACCUGUGGGGCAUCAUAUCUCAUCACUCUCCCUUCAACAAGAGGAGAAGCUUAGGAAAUUCAGGCGUUAGUGGGUAGGAGGAACUAGGAGUUGAGGAGGAUGGGAGCGGAGAGGAGGAGAUGCCUGCCCUAAAGGAGGCUGGCCAGAGAAUGAAGGGUUCAGGCCAGCUGAUGACCAGUAGGGGUAGCAAUGGGGAAAGAGGUUUGCAGUGCAGGCUGUGAAGACUCUGAAAUUGUAGAAUUUAAAAAACCAGGGCAUAAACAGGUGAGAGAGUCUGGGACUCUGCCCCACUAGCCUUCAUCAAGCUCAGGAGGGAGGUAUUCCUGGCCAGUACCUGUCCAAAGUGGGCGGGGUAGCCCAACAUGUGGACGUAGAGCAGUUUGGCCAGCUGCCGGUGCCUGUGCACUGGGUCCCCGUCGCGGAAGGAGGCCCGGAUGUGGGCACACUCCUUUUGGAUCACCUCCCGCUCCUGGGCCUGAGUCUUGGCCCCGCGAAUCUCUUCGAUGAGGUCCUGAAGCUUCAGCGAAGGCACCACCAUCCUGACUGGCAGAGUCCGGGAGUGGAGAAACACUCUCUGGUCGGGCGUGCCUGGGCUUUCGGCCCAGGCCCGUCCUGUGUCAAGACCCUAAGAGCCCGGGUCCCACAGGCAGCGGCAGCGGCAGCGACAGCCUGCCUACCCCAGGACUCCAGCCUCACCUGGCUUCUGCCUCAACUCCGCUCCUCUGCCCCCCAGCGCUUCCUGGUACGGGGCCGAGCAGGGCCUUCCUGAAUCCUCUGACCUCGGGCCUCAGGCUUUAGCGGAGAGACAGCAUGAUAGGCCUGGAGUUCUUCAAGAGGCCUCCUCGCACAUCCUUACCACCCGGAGAGCCUCAGUUUGGAUUUGAAGCCAUCGCACCCCAAAGGAGAUGACAAUCCCCC
RNAcentral lists this long non-coding RNA (2484 nucleotides) under Homo sapiens (human). RNAcentral's name for it is "HSALNT0375714". Lineage: Eukaryota; Metazoa; Chordata; Mammalia; Primates; Hominidae. The record is from RNAcentral.